UUCCGGUUGAUCCCGCCGGACCUGACUGCUAUCGGAUUGAUACUAAGCCAUGCGAGUCAUUGUAGCAAUACAAGGCAGACGGCUCAGUAACGCGUAGUCAACCUAACCUAUGGACGGGAAUAACCUCGGGAAACUGAGAAUAAUGCCCGAUAGAACACUAUACCUGGAAUGGUUUGUGUUCCAAAUGAUUUAUCGCCGUAGGAUGGGACUGCGGCCUAUCAGUUUGUUGGUGAGGUAAUGGCCCACCAAGACUAUUACAGGUACGGGCUCUGAGAGGAGUAGCCCGGAGAUGGGUACUGAGACACGGACCCAGGCCCUAUGGGGCGCAGCAGGCGAGAAAACUUUGCAAUGUGCGAAAGCACGACAAGGUUAAUCCGAGUGGUUUGUGCUAAACGAACCUUUUGUCGGUCCUAGAAACACCGAUGAAUAAGGGGUGGGCAAGUUCUGGUGUCAGCCGCCGCGGUAAAACCAGCACCUCAAGUGGUCAGGAUGAUUAUUGGGCCUAAAGCAUCCGUAGCCGGCUCUGUAAGUUUUCGGUUAAAUCUGUACGCUCAACGUACAGGCUGCCGGGAAUACUACGGAGCUAGGGAGUGGGAGAGGUAGACGGUACUCGGUAGGAAGGGGUAAAAUCCUUUGAUCUAUUGAUGACCACCUGUGGCGAAGGCGGUCUACCAGAACACGUCCGACGGUGAGGGAUGAAAGCUGGGGGAGCAAACCGGAUUAGAUACCCGGGUAGUCCCAGCUGUAAACUAUGCAAACUCAGUGAUGCAUUGACUUGUGGUCAAUGCAGUGCUGCAGGGAAGCCGUUAAGUUUGCCGCCUGGGAAGUACGUACGCAAGUAUGAAACUUAAAGGAAUUGGCGGGGGAGCACCACAAGGGGUGAAGCCUGCGGUUCAAUUGGAGUCAACGCCGGA
RNAcentral lists this ribosomal RNA (914 nucleotides) under uncultured archaeon. RNAcentral's name for it is "bacterial SSU rRNA". It matches the Rfam family "Archaeal small subunit ribosomal RNA", at positions 1 to 922 of the family's 1478-position model. The record is from RNAcentral.